GGAGGAAUAUUGGACAAUGGGCGGAAGCCUGAUCCAGCCAUCCCGCGUGUUUGAUGAAGGCCCUCUGGGUCGUAAAGAACUUUAGACUGGGAAGAAACCACUUGGUGAGCCAGGUGUUGACGGUACCAGUAGAAUAAGCACCGGCUAACUCCGUGCCAGCAGCCGCGGUAAUACGGAGGGUGCAAGCGUUAUCCGGAAUCACUGGGUUUAAAGGGUGCGUAGGCGGCAUAGUAAGUCAGGGGUGAAAGGU
RNAcentral lists this ribosomal RNA (250 nucleotides) under uncultured bacterium. Its description in RNAcentral is "partial 16S ribosomal RNA". It matches the Rfam family "Bacterial small subunit ribosomal RNA", at positions 355 to 602 of the family's 1533-position model. The record is from RNAcentral.